RNAcentral lists this ribosomal RNA (743 nucleotides) under Halomonas sp. AK2. Its description in RNAcentral is "bacterial SSU rRNA". It matches the Rfam family "Bacterial small subunit ribosomal RNA", at positions 391 to 1127 of the family's 1533-position model. Lineage: Bacteria; Pseudomonadati; Pseudomonadota; Gammaproteobacteria; Oceanospirillales; Halomonadaceae. The record is from RNAcentral.
GCCAUGCCGCGUGUGUGAAGAAGGCCUUCGGGUUGUAAAGCACUUUCAGUGAGGAAGAAAGCCUUGAGGUUAAUACCCUCGAGGGAGGACAUCACUCACAGAAGAAGCACCGGCUAACUCCGUGCCAGCAGCCGCGGUAAUACGGAGGGUGCGAGCGUUAAUCGGAAUUACUGGGCGUAAAGCGCGCGUAGGCGGCUUGAUAAGCCGGUUGUGAAAGCCCCGGGCUCAACCUGGGAACGGCAUCCGGAACUGUCAGGCUAGAGUGCAGGAGAGGAAGGUAGAAUUCCCGGUGUAGCGGUGAAAUGCGUAGAGAUCGGGAGGAAUACCAGUGGCGAAGGCGGCCUUCUGGACUGACACUGACGCUGAGGUGCGAAAGCGUGGGUAGCAAACAGGAUUAGAUACCCUGGUAGUCCACGCCGUAAACGAUGUCGACUAGCCGUUGGGCUCCUUGAGAGCUUUGUGGCGCAGUUAACGCGAUAAGUCGACCGCCUGGGGAGUACGGCCGCAAGGUUAAAACUCAAAUGAAUUGACGGGGGCCCGCACAAGCGGUGGAGCAUGUGGUUUAAUUCGAUGCAACGCGAAGAACCUUACCUACCCUUGACAUCGAGAGAACUUUCCAGAGAUGGAUUGGUGCCUUCGGGAACUCUCAGACAGGUGCUGCAUGGCUGUCGUCAGCUCGUGUUGUGAAAUGUUGGGUUAAGUCCCGUAACGAGCGCAACCCUUGUCCCUAUUGCCAGCGAUUC